This 460-nucleotide ribosomal RNA is filed under the name uncultured bacterium. RNAcentral's name for it is "partial 16S ribosomal RNA". It matches the Rfam family "Bacterial small subunit ribosomal RNA", at positions 338 to 795 of the family's 1533-position model. The record is from RNAcentral.
CCUACGGGUCGCAGCAGUGAGGAAUAUUGGUCAAUGGGCUUACGCCUGAACCAGCCAAGUCGCGUGAGGGAAGACUGCCCUAUGGGUUGUAAACCUCUUUUGUCAGGGAGAAACGCCGGCUACGUGUAGCCGGACUGAGAGUACCUGAAGAAAAAGCAUCGGCGAACUCCGUGCCAGCAGCCGCGUUAAUAGGGGGGAUGCGAGCGUUAUCCGGAUUUAUUGGGUUUAAAGGGUGCGUAGUCGGAAUGACAAGUCAGCGGUAAAAUCGCGGGGCUCAACCUCGCGCUGCCGUUGAAACUGGCGUUCUUGAGUGGGCUAGAAGUAUGCGGAAUGCGUGGGGUAGCGGUGAAAUGCAUAGAUAUCACGCAGAACUCCGAUUGCGAAGGCAGCAUACCGGCGCCCAACUGACGCUGAAGCACGAAAGCGUGGGUAUCGAACAGGAUUAGAUACCCGGGUAGUC